AUUGAACGCUGGCGGCAUGCUUUACACAUGCAAGUCGAACGGGAGUGGCGGGGCAACCUGGCGCUUCAGUGGCGGACGGGGGAGUAAUGCAUCGGAACGUAUCCCGUGGGGGGGGACAACCCAGCGAAAGCUGGGCUAAUAACGCAUACCCUCUAUGGAGGAAAGCGGGGGAGCCCGAGAGGGGCCUCGCGCCAUGGGGGCGGCCCAUGUCCGAUGAGCUUGUUGGUGGGGUAAUGGCUUACCAAGGCGACGAUCGGUAGCUGGUCUGAGAGGAUGAUCAGCCACACUGGGACUGAGACACGGCCCAGACUCCUACGGGAGGCAGCAGUGGGGAAUUUUGGACAAUGGGCGCAAGCCUGAUCCAGCCAUGCCGCGUGCGGGAAGAAGGCCUUCGGGUUGUAAACCGCUUUUGUCCGGGAAGAAAAGGCUGCCGCGAACAGCGGCGGUUCUUGCCGGUACCGGGAGAAUAAGCACCGGCUAACUACGUGCCAGCCGCCGCGGUAA
Molecule: ribosomal RNA, 504 nt
Filed under: uncultured bacterium
Lineage: Bacteria
Description: partial 16S ribosomal RNA
Rfam family: Bacterial small subunit ribosomal RNA
Source: RNAcentral